RNAcentral lists this ribosomal RNA (700 nucleotides) under uncultured Bacteroidota bacterium. Its description in RNAcentral is "bacterial SSU rRNA". It matches the Rfam family "Bacterial small subunit ribosomal RNA", at positions 92 to 791 of the family's 1533-position model. The record is from RNAcentral. Lineage: Bacteria; Pseudomonadati; Bacteroidota.
AUAGUGGCGCACGGGUGCGUAACACGUAUGCAACCUACCUUACAUUGGGGGAUAGCCUUUCGAAAGGGAGAUUAAUACCGCAUAAGACAGUAGCUGGGCAUCCAGCAGCUGUUAAAGAUUUAUCGAUGUAAGAUGGGCAUGCGUCCAAUUAGUUAGUUGGCGAGGUAAUGGCUCACCAAGACUUUGAUUGGUAGGGGAACUGAGAGGUCAAUCCCCCACACUGGCACUGAGAUACGGGCCAGACUCCUACGGGAGGCAGCAGUAGGGAAUAUUGGGCAAUGGACGCAAGUCUGACCCAGCCAUGCCGCGUGCAGGAUGAAGGCGUUAUGCGUUGUAAACUGCUUUUAUACAGGAAGAAACGACUCUUGCGAGAGGCAUUGACGGUACUGUAUGAAUAAGCACCGGCUAACUCCGUGCCAGCAGCCGCGGUAAUACGGAGGGUGCAAGCGUUGUCCGGAUUUAUUGGGUUUAAAGGGUGCGCAGGUGGUUUAUUAAGUCAGUGGUGAAAGACGGUCGCUCAACGAUUGCAGUGCCAUUGAAACUGGUAGACUUGAGUAAAGUAGAGGUGGGCGGAAUUGAUAGUGUAGCGGUGAAAUGCAUAGAUAUUAUCAAGAACUCCAAUUGCGUAGGCAGCUCACUUGGCUUUUACUGACACUCAUGCACGAAAGUGUGGGUAUCAAACAGGAUUAGAUACCCUGGU